GUCUUCGUGGUGUAAUUGGUAAGCACAUCCGGCUGGUAGUCGGAAGGUCCAGAGUUCGAAUCCCGAUGAGUGCA
RNAcentral lists this transfer RNA (74 nucleotides) under Stegodyphus mimosarum. It matches the Rfam family "tRNA". From Rfam's summary of the family: Transfer RNA (tRNA) molecules are approximately 80 nucleotides in length. Their secondary structure includes four short double-helical elements and three loops (D, anti-codon, and T loops). Further hydrogen bonds mediate the characteristic L-shaped molecular structure. tRNAs have two regions of fundamental functional importance: the anti-codon, which is responsible for specific mRNA codon recognition, and the 3' end, to which the tRNAs corresponding amino acid is attached (by aminoacyl-tRNA synthetases). tRNAs cope with the degeneracy of the genetic code in two manners: having more than one tRNA (with a specific anti-codon) for a particular amino acid; and 'wobble' base-pairing, i.e. permitting non-standard base-pairing at the 3rd anti-codon position. Lineage: Eukaryota; Metazoa; Arthropoda; Arachnida; Araneae; Eresidae. The record is from Rfam by way of RNAcentral.